Molecule: transfer RNA, 65 nt
Filed under: Clostridium niameyense
Lineage: Bacteria; Bacillati; Bacillota; Clostridia; Eubacteriales; Clostridiaceae
Rfam family: tRNA
About the family: Transfer RNA (tRNA) molecules are approximately 80 nucleotides in length. Their secondary structure includes four short double-helical elements and three loops (D, anti-codon, and T loops).
Source: RNAcentral
CAGUGGCUCAGUUGGUUAGAGUGCCGGCCUGUCACGCCGGAGGUCGAGGGUUCGAACCCCUUCUG